This is a long non-coding RNA of Mauremys reevesii (Reeves's turtle), 958 nucleotides long. RefSeq lists it as uncharacterized. The transcript has 3 exons. The record is from RefSeq and is a predicted model, not a curated record. Lineage: Eukaryota; Metazoa; Chordata; Testudines; Geoemydidae.
GUUCUUGGUUCUUUCUGAAGUCAUGUAGAUAAUAAUUCUAGCAGAUCAAAUCAAGAUCUCAUGGCUCCCUCAGCAAUCAAGGCACUAUUCCCAAUGGUUUGCUGCAGUCUAGUGGGAAACUGCUUCAGGGAAGGCUUAGUUCUUUUCCACCUUCUAGCCUCCUCUUCAAGUCUGGAAGCCAGCCUGGAGACAAGGAAACUACAACUUCAAGGUUGAAUUCAUCUAACUUCAACUUCCAGCCACUGGAUCUUCUUAUGCUUUUAUCAGGAAGAUUGAAGAGUGCCCCCUUCCCACUCCACCAUCUCUUCUUUUCAAUGUUGCAGCGAUUUGCCUUUCAAACUUAUUUAAAGCUGAAUUGGUUAUGCGCCUUAAGCCUUAUGUCAAAGCUUGUUUUCCAGUCCCUGAAUCAUUUGUGACCCUCUGACCUCUCCAGUAUUUCCACAUACUUCUUGAACUGUGGAAACCAGAACUGGACACUGUAUUCUAAUAGCAGUUUCAAUGCUGUGUACAGAGGCAAGGUCACUCCCUACUAUUUGAUAUUCCCUUGUCUAUGUAGCCAAGGAUUACACUACCCCUUUUUACCACAGAAUUGCACUGAAAGCUCACACUGACAGUUAACCUGUGAAGAGCCUUAUGUCCUUCAGAGACGCUGCUUUUCAAGACAGUCGCCACAUCGAGGUAUAGCCUGCAUUCUUUGUUGUGAGAUGAUCUUGCAUUUGGCUAUUAAAAUGUAUCUUCUUGAAUUAUGACCACUUAACUAAGCACCCCAGAUCACCAACAGUGACCUGUCAUUAUAGGCCACCCCACCAAUCUUUGGCAUCUGCAAACUUGACAGCAAAAAUUGUAUAUCAUUUAAAUAGUAACUUUUCAACAGAGCAGUGUUUGGACCAAGAACUGACUCCUAGGGUGCCCUGCUAGAAACAACCCAAUUAAUUAGUCACCCCACUAACAAUUACAU